RNAcentral lists this non-coding RNA (27 nucleotides) under Cricetulus griseus (Chinese hamster). Lineage: Eukaryota; Metazoa; Chordata; Mammalia; Rodentia; Cricetidae. The record is from RNAcentral.
AAUUGAUCAAGGAUGAUGAAAAAGAGG